RNAcentral lists this small RNA (726 nucleotides) under Malus domestica (apple). RNAcentral describes it as "sRNA MD15G0187500". The record is from RNAcentral. Lineage: Eukaryota; Viridiplantae; Streptophyta; Magnoliopsida; Rosales; Rosaceae.
AUUUGGUUUUGCGGUUUUGGGUUUGCACCUCUGCGAUCUCUGCGUCUGCCUCUGCGAGCGACUGCUUCUGCUUCCAUCUCUGCAAUCUGCAUCUCUGUUUAUCCUCUGCGAUCACCAGGCUGCUUCUGCUUCCAUCUCUGCAAUCUGCAUCUCUGCGUUUGCCUCUGCGAGCGACUGCCUGCUUGCAUCUCUGGAAGCGGUGGAAGUGAUCGGCGACUGCCUGACUGCAAUCUGCAUCUCCGCCUCUGCCUUGCCUUGCGACCUCACUGAGUCAUUGCUUACCAGCUAAUAUGUGCAGGGUAAAUGGAAGAACACUAUAAUAGAUGGAACACUAUUUUGGAUCCUUUAAAUGGGGAGCCAUUACUUAAAGUUUGCAAGUUGAUGAAAUAAGAAUUAAGUGUAUGUGUACCGUAACGAAUGUUUUUGGAUUGCUGGAUUGCUAUUGCAGCCAUUUGUAGAGAGCUUGUCCAAGUGCCCAUGGUCUUCACAAUCCGUUCAAAGCACCAGAGAUGUUUGUGUUUAUUACCAUUCUAUUUCUAUGUCCUCAUUUAUCUUUAGGCAUCAUUUGUUCUCUAGAUUACUCGCAUAGAUUCAUGUAAUGGUAGAGGACUGCAAGAUUUUCAUUAACUCCUCUUUUGAAGAACUCGACAGUGAUAUUUUGCAACAAUAUAAAUUAGGGAAACUCUUCACCCAAACAUUUUUCGUUGUUCCAUCUGCAACAAUGAA